UAGGGAAUCUUCCGCAAUGGGCGAAAGCCUGACGGAGCAACGCCGCGUGAGUGAUGAAGGUCUUCGGAUCGUAAAACUCUGUUAUUAGGGAAGAACAAAUGUGUAAGUAACUAUGCACGUCUUGACGGUACCUAAUCAGAAAGCCACGGCUAACUACGUGCCAGCAGCCGCGGUAAUACGUAGGUGGCAAGCGUUAUCCGGAAUUAUUGGGCGUAAAGCGCGCGUAGGCGGUUUUUUAAGUCUGAUGUGAAAGCCCACGGCUCAACCGUGGAGGGUCAUUGGAAACUGGAAAACUUGAGUGCAGAAGAGGAAAGUGGAAUUCCAUGUGUAGCGGUGAAAUGCGCAGAGAUAUGGAGGAACACCAGUGGCGAAGUCGACUUUCUGGUCUGUAACUGACGCUGAUGUGCGAAAGCGUGGAGAUCAAACAGG
Molecule: ribosomal RNA, 429 nt
Filed under: Actinomycetes bacterium
Lineage: Bacteria; Bacillati; Actinomycetota; Actinomycetes
Description: Actinobacteria bacterium partial 16S ribosomal RNA
Rfam family: Bacterial small subunit ribosomal RNA
Source: RNAcentral